Molecule: ribosomal RNA, 253 nt
Filed under: uncultured bacterium
Lineage: Bacteria
Description: partial 16S ribosomal RNA
Rfam family: Bacterial small subunit ribosomal RNA
Source: RNAcentral
UACGGAGGGAGCUAGCGUUGUUCGGAAUUACUGGGCGUAAAGCGCGCGUAGGCGGCUUUGUAAGUUAGAGGUGAAAGCCCGGAGCUCAACUCCGGAACUGCCUUUAAAACUGCAUCGCUUGAAUCCAGGAGAGGUGAGUGGACUUCCGAGUGUAGAGGUGAAAUUCGUAGAUAUUCGGAAGAACACCAGUGGCGAAGGCGGCUCACUGGACUGGUAUUGACGCUGAGGUGCGAAAGCGUGGGGAGCAAACAGG